Molecule: long non-coding RNA, 682 nt
Filed under: Rosa chinensis
Lineage: Eukaryota; Viridiplantae; Streptophyta; Magnoliopsida; Rosales; Rosaceae
Description: sRNA RchiOBHm_Chr4g0435541
Source: RNAcentral
AUUAAUUAAACAACUACGCACUGCCACACACUCUCUUAUUUCUAGAUCUCUCUCCUCUCUCUCAGCAACAACGGCGCGUCUCUCUCUCUCCGAGGGACGUUAACGAGGACAAUGUCGACGACCUUGACCUGUACAUAGUAAUCCUCCGAUCUCCUCCCCGCAGUAGACAUCCGCGACUCCGAUCUUUGCAUCUUUUACGCCGAAUUCUCCAGCUCAGGUGCCGACCUCCUCCGCCUUGAAUCAGACUGACCAUUCGAAGACAAGUCUAGGAUUUGCAGCUCCCCAUUUCUGCCCAAACCCUGAGGAAUAGACCCAGUGAAGUUUUUCUCCCAUAGCUGCAGGACCUGGAGCUCCGGCAAGUCACCGAUGAAGUCUGAAUUACACCGUGAAGCUGGUUCUGGAAGAGAUUGAGAAGCGUUAAGUUCUUUAGCUUUGAGAAAUAGACCAGAAUCUCGCCGAAGAACAAGUUGUUGGAUAAGUCCAUGGAAUUCAAGCUUUUGAGGUAGCCCAACUCAGACGUCAAUGACCUGGAAAGCGCAUUCACCUGGAGAAACAAAGUAUCCACAUUUUGCAACUGACCUAGUUCCGGCCGGAUCUCGUUGGAUAAAUUGCAGUUUGCAGGUCGCGGUUUUGCUUUGACUAAUAACCUCGUCAUCCUCAGCGAAUUCCAGCCUCCUCUCAG